This 467-nucleotide ribosomal RNA is filed under the name uncultured bacterium. RNAcentral describes it as "partial 16S ribosomal RNA". It matches the Rfam family "Bacterial small subunit ribosomal RNA", at positions 28 to 506 of the family's 1533-position model. The record is from RNAcentral.
GACGAACGCUGGCGGCGUGCUUAACACAUGCAAGUCGAACGGAAAGGCCCUGCUUUUGUGGGGUGCUCGAGUGGCGAACGGGUGAGUAACACGUGAGUAACCUGCCCUUGACUUUGGGAUAACUUCAGGAAACUGGGGCUAAUACCGGAUAGGAGCUCCUGCUGCAUGGUGGGGGUUGGAAAGUUUCGGCGGUUGGGGAUGGACUCGCGGCUUAUCAGCUUGUUGGUGGGGUAGUGGCUUACCAAGGCUUUGACGGGUAGCCGGCCUGAGAGGGUGACCGGCCACAUUGUGACUGAGAUACGGCCCAGACUCCUACGGGAGGCAGCAGUGGGGAAUAUUGCACAAUGGGCGGAAGCCUGAUGCAGCAACGCCGCGUGCGGGAAGACGGCCUUCGGGUUGUAAACCGCUUUCGCCUGUGACGAAGCGUGAGUGACGGUAAUGGGUAAAGAAGCACCGGCUAACUACGU